This 787-nucleotide long non-coding RNA is filed under the name Mus musculus (house mouse). RNAcentral describes it as "predicted gene 20544". The record is from RNAcentral. Lineage: Eukaryota; Metazoa; Chordata; Mammalia; Rodentia; Muridae.
ACUGCCACCCUCUCCCAGGUCUAGAGAGGGGUACCCACGGUGGAGGGAGGUGGGAGGCCGAGACGGCCCCGGGGGUCGGCGGAGACCCAGCGGGAGCAGGGGGAAAUCGGAAGAGCUGGGGGCAUGGAGCGGGCGAGUUUGGAGCGGAAUGAGCCGGGAGCCCUACGUUGUGGAAGGAAGACAACAGUAUAGGACCAUCAGCAGGACCGGACAGAGAGGGCCCUGGCUGUCCUGGAACUUGUAGACCAGGCUGGCCUUGAACUCAGAAAUCCGCCUGCCUCUGACUCCCGAGUGCUGAGAUUAAAGGUGUGCACCACCACACCCGACAAGGAAGCCUGUUUUAAGAAGUGAUUCCAUGGAGGAGUUCUGCGGCGGCUCAGGGCUUGACUAAACAGUGGACCUCAGACAAGAGAGGCUAAACCAGGCUGCAGGUGACAGGAAGAAUUGAAUAAACUGAAAGCAAAGGGCAGCCUUCUAAUUACGCUUCGUGGCUAUGUGGACAACCUGGAGAAGUCUGGAAACCUUUCCUCCUCCAUUUUACUACUUGAGGGAGCAGUGGGUGGGAUACUAGAAGCCAGAAGCCCGAAGCCAGCAGUAGAGCUCUGACUGGCUUGUAUGCCUAGAAAGGAAGGGCUCUUCUUUCGCCUCACGGGCACAAAUGGGACCCACGAGCGCCGAUUUCAGACUAUUCUGAUCCCUUCAAAAAGAAAGUUAGGAGUCCAGGCUACUGUGAGUGAAUUUGAUUCUAAUUGUUUCAGAGAAUAUGGAAUAAAAUAUCUCAUUUGCA